GGGUUGUAAAGUACUUUCAGCGGGGAGGAAGGUGUUGUGGUUAAUAACCGCAGCAAUUGACGUUACCCGCAGAAGAAGCACCGGCUAACUCCGUGCCAGCAGCCGCGGUAAUACGGAGGGGGCAAGCGUUAAUCGGAAUUACUGGGCGUAAAGCGCACGCAGGCGGUCUGUCAAGUCGGAUGUGAAAUCCCCGGGCUCAACCUGGGAACUGCAUUCGAAACUGGCAGGCUUGAGUCUUGUAGAGGGGGGUAGAAUUCCAGGUGUAGCGGUGAAAUGCGUAGAGAUCUGGAGGAAUACCGGUGGCGAAGGCGGCCCCCUGGACAAAGACUGACGCUCAGGUGCGAAAGCGUGGGGAGCAAACAGGAUUAGAUACCCUGGUAGUCCACGCCGUAAACGAUGUCUACUUGGAGGUUGUGCCCUUGAGGCGUGGCUUCCGGAGCUAACGCGUUAAGUAGACCGCCUGGGGAGUACGGCCGCAAGGUUAAAACUCAAAUGAAUUGACGGGGGCCCGCACAAGCGGUGGAGCAUGUGGUUUAAUUCGAUGCAACGCGAAGAACCUUAC
Molecule: ribosomal RNA, 562 nt
Filed under: Salmonella enterica subsp. enterica serovar 4,[5],12:i:-
Lineage: Bacteria; Pseudomonadati; Pseudomonadota; Gammaproteobacteria; Enterobacterales; Enterobacteriaceae
Description: bacterial SSU rRNA
Rfam family: Bacterial small subunit ribosomal RNA
Source: RNAcentral